AAGCAGGAGGUGUCAGAAAAGUUACCACAGGGAUAACUGGCUUGUGGCGACCAAGCUCUCAUAGCGACUUCGCUUUUUGAUCCUUCGA
This is a microRNA precursor of Ochotona princeps (American pika), 88 nucleotides long. The record is from Ensembl. Lineage: Eukaryota; Metazoa; Chordata; Mammalia; Lagomorpha; Ochotonidae.